GAUCCUGGCUUAGGAUGAACGCUAGCGAUAGGCCUAACACAUGCAAGUCGAGGGCAGCACAUGAAGUAGCAAUACAGAUGGUGGCGACCGGCGCACGGGUGAGUAACACGUAUGCAACCUACCUUCAACAGGAGAAUAACCCGGCGAAAGUCGGACUAAUACUCCAUAAUACAGGGAUCCCGCAUGGGAAUAUUUGUUAAAGAUUUAUCGGUUGAAGAUGGGCAUGCGUUCCAUUAGCUAGUUGGUGAGGUAACGGCUCACCAAGGCAACGAUGGAUAGGGGAACUGAGAGGUUUAUCCCCCACACUGGUACUGAGACACGGACCAGACUCCUACGGGAGGCAGCAGUGAGGAAUAUUGGUCAAUGGAGGCAACUCUGAACCAGCCACGUCCGCGUGAAGGAUGACGGCCCUACGGGUUGUAAACUUCUUUUGUAAGGGAAUAAAGUUUAGUACGUGUACUAUUUUGCAUGUACCUUACGAAUAAGGAUCGGCUAACUCCGUGCCAGCAGCAGC
RNAcentral lists this ribosomal RNA (514 nucleotides) under uncultured bacterium. RNAcentral describes it as "bacterial SSU rRNA". It matches the Rfam family "Bacterial small subunit ribosomal RNA", at positions 15 to 518 of the family's 1533-position model. The record is from RNAcentral.